RNAcentral lists this ribosomal RNA (198 nucleotides) under uncultured bacterium. RNAcentral's name for it is "partial 16S ribosomal RNA". It matches the Rfam family "Bacterial small subunit ribosomal RNA", at positions 328 to 539 of the family's 1533-position model. The record is from RNAcentral.
ACGCUCGACACCUACGAGAGGCAGCAGUGGGGAAUAUUGCACAAUGGGGGAAACCCUGAUGCAGCGACGCCGCGUGAGCGAAGAAGUAUUUCGGUAUGUAAAGCUCUAUCAGCAGGGAAGAAACUGACGGUACCUGACUAAGAAGCACCGGCUAAAUACGUGCUAGCAGCCGCGGUAAUCUGAGCGGGCUGGCAAGGC